GGGUGACCUGGGCGAAGGGGUCGAGUCUUCCCGGUCUCCAAGGCCGGGCUCCAUUGAGGCGAACUCCCAGCCUCCGGAGUACGUACUCCCCGGGUGUCUUCCC
RNAcentral lists this transfer RNA (103 nucleotides) under Actinomyces glycerinitolerans. Lineage: Bacteria; Bacillati; Actinomycetota; Actinomycetes; Actinomycetales; Actinomycetaceae. The record is from RNAcentral.